RNAcentral lists this ribosomal RNA (549 nucleotides) under uncultured marine eukaryote. RNAcentral describes it as "bacterial SSU rRNA". It matches the Rfam family "Eukaryotic small subunit ribosomal RNA", at positions 637 to 1194 of the family's 1831-position model. The record is from RNAcentral.
GAGAUCUGCACUAAAGACGAUGUCUACCCAGCGGGUAUGUCAUCAAUAACUUGCGUGCAUCCUUCUGGGGACACGGUUUCCACUUGAUUGUGGAAUCGCUGACUUCAGAACCUUUACUUUGAGGAAAUGAGAGUGUUUCAAGCAGGUGCCAGCCGUGGAUAUGUUAGCAUGGAAUAACAGUAUCGAACUGUCGUGUAGCUCUUGGUGUGCAGCGACGGUAAAGGUAAAAAGGGACAGUUGGGGGUAUUCGUAUUCAACUGUCAGAGGUGAAAUUCUUGGAUUUGUUGAAGACGGACUACUGCGAAAGCAUUUGCCAAAGAUGUUCUCAUUGAUCAAGAACGAAAGUUAGGUGAUCGAAGACGAUCAGAUACCGUCCUAGUCUUAACCAUAAACUAUGCCAACUGGAGAUGGGGACUGAUCAUUGUGUGACACUUUCUGCAUCUUGAGAGAAAUCAAAGUCUUUGGGUUCCGGGGGGAGUAUGGUCGCAAGGCUGAAACUUAAAGGAAUUGACGGAAGGGCACCACCAGGAGUGGAGCCUGCGGCUUAAU